AUGCUGGGCGGGGCGGUGACGCAGGGGUGCUGCGCGCGGCUGCGAGCCCAGCGGGCGUGCCUGUGCCAGUACGCGCGCGACCCGUCGUACCGCGGCUACGUCAACAGCCAGGGCGCAGAGCGUCGUCGCCGCCUGCGGCCUCCCCAGGCCCAAGUGCUGAUCGCCCGCGCUCGCUAUAUGUGGCCGGCUUUGUGCACGAUGCCGGGCACCGGUGGAAGGCGGUCUACGGUGGUUAAUUAUACGGUUGACGACGCCAUCGAGCUGCCGUGCGUGUGUGUGCGGUUGAAUGGUGGACGUCUAAAUAAACGUGGUUUGCUCCAAGCUGCACAGGCUUAUAUACGUGCGUGCGUUGUGGCAGCUGGUUGUGUACGUUCUCAUGUUUCAUACUACUACCGCCUAUGA
This 402-nucleotide ribosomal RNA is filed under the name Triticum aestivum (bread wheat). Its description in RNAcentral is "partial small subunit ribosomal RNA". The record is from RNAcentral. Lineage: Eukaryota; Viridiplantae; Streptophyta; Magnoliopsida; Poales; Poaceae.